Chlorobi bacterium OLB7 is the source of this 100-nucleotide non-coding RNA. Lineage: Bacteria; Pseudomonadati; Chlorobiota. The record is from Rfam.
GGCCAAGUCCCGUGCGACUGUAUCAUACCCAAUCCCGUCAGGUCCGGAAGGAAGCAGCGGUCAGUAUAGGUGCAGUGUGAUACGGAUCAGCUUGGCCUCA